CCUACUGGAGGCAGCAUUGGGGAAUAUUGCACAAUGGGGGAAACCCUGAUCCAGCGACGCCGCGUGGGUGAGGAAGUAUUUCGGUAUGUAACGCCCUAUCAGCAGGGAAGAAAAUGACGGUACCUGACUAAGAAGCCCCGGCUAACUACGUGUCAGCAGCCGCGGUAAUACGUAGGGGGCAAGCAUUAUCCGGAUUUACUGGGUUUAAAGGGAGCGUAGACGGCGGCCCAAGUCUGAUGUGAAAGUCCGGGGCUCAACCCCGGGACUGCAUUGGAAACUGGCAUGCUGGAGUGCCGGAGGGGCAAGCGGAAUUCCUAGUGUAGCGGUGAAAUGCGUAGAUAUUAGGAGGAACACCGGUGGCGAAGGCGGCUUACUGGACGGUAACUGACGUUGAGGCUCGAAAGCGUGGGGAGCAAACAGGAUUAGAUACCCGUGUAGUC
Molecule: ribosomal RNA, 440 nt
Filed under: uncultured bacterium
Lineage: Bacteria
Description: partial 16S ribosomal RNA
Rfam family: Bacterial small subunit ribosomal RNA
Source: RNAcentral